Molecule: non-coding RNA, 73 nt
Organism: Heterorhabditis bacteriophora
Lineage: Eukaryota; Metazoa; Nematoda; Chromadorea; Rhabditida; Heterorhabditidae
Source: Rfam
GGUCCUGUGGUGUAGUGGUUAUCACGUCUGCUUUACACGCAGAAGGUAGCCGGUUCGAUCCCGGCCAGGACCU